Molecule: ribosomal RNA, 406 nt
Filed under: uncultured bacterium
Lineage: Bacteria
Description: partial 16S ribosomal RNA
Rfam family: Bacterial small subunit ribosomal RNA
Source: RNAcentral
AUUGAACGCUGGCGGCAGGCCUAACACAUGCAAGUCGAACGAGUGGCGGACGGGUGAGUAAUGUCUGGGAAACUGCCUGAUGGAGGGGGAUAACUCCUGGAAACGGUAGCUCAUACCGCAUACCAUCAGAUGUGCCCAGAUGGGAUUAGCGUGUUGGUGGGUUAACGGCUCACCAAGGCGACGAUCCCUAGCUGGUCUACUAGGAUGACCAGCCACACUGGAACUGAGACACGGUCCAGACGCCUACGGGAGGCAGAAGUGGGGAAUAUUGAACAAUGUGCGCAAGCCUGAUGCAGCCAUGCCGAGUGUAGGAAGAAGGCCUUCGGUUUGUAAAGUACUUUCAGCGGGGAGGCGUUACCCGCAGAAGAAGCACCGGCUAACUCCGUGCCAGCAGCCGCGGUAAUUC